RNAcentral lists this ribosomal RNA (367 nucleotides) under uncultured eukaryote. RNAcentral's name for it is "partial 18S ribosomal RNA". It matches the Rfam family "Eukaryotic small subunit ribosomal RNA", at positions 592 to 976 of the family's 1831-position model. The record is from RNAcentral.
CAAUAGCGUAUAUUAAAGUUGUUGCAGUUAAAAAGCUCGUAGUUGAAGAUACGAACGCUUAGACUAGAACAAAGUUUCCGGUGUCUGCGUUCACUCUUCGCAAAGACAGCCUGGCCCAUUAGUUUGGGUCUUGUUUGAGUUGCGUCGUUUACUGUGAACAAAUUAGGGUGUUUAAAGCAGGCCUACGUUUGAAUACACUAGCAUGGAAUAAUAAGAUAUGAUCUUGGUCGUAUUUUGUUGGUGACUACCAAGAAAAUGAUUGAUAGAAACUGUUGUGGGUAUUCGUAUGAGCAUGUCAGAGGUGAAAUUCUUGGAUUUUGAUCAGACGAACUACUGCGAAAGCAUUUACCAAGGAUGUUUUCAUUAA